This 68-nucleotide transfer RNA is filed under the name Isothrix sinnamariensis. Its description in RNAcentral is "tRNA-Gly". The record is from RNAcentral. Lineage: Eukaryota; Metazoa; Chordata; Mammalia; Rodentia; Echimyidae.
ACUUUCUUAGUAUAAUUAGUACUGCUGACUUCCAAUCAGUAAGAUCCAUAUAAUAAUGGAAGAAAGUA